AAAUUGAAGAGUUUGAUCAUGGCUCAGAUUGAACGCUGGCGGCAGGCCUAACACAUGCAAGUCGAACGGUAACAGGAGGCAGCUUGCUGCUUUGCUGACGAGUGGCGGACGGGUGAGUAAUGUCUGGGAAACUGCCUGAUGGAGGGGGAUAACUACUGGAAACGGUAGCUAAUACCGCAUAACGUCGCAAGACCAAAGAGGGGGACCUUCGGGCCUCUUGCCAUCGGAUGUGCCCAGAUGGGAUUAGCUAGUAGGUGGGGUAA
Molecule: ribosomal RNA, 263 nt
Filed under: Escherichia coli
Lineage: Bacteria; Pseudomonadati; Pseudomonadota; Gammaproteobacteria; Enterobacterales; Enterobacteriaceae
Description: partial 16S ribosomal RNA
Rfam family: Bacterial small subunit ribosomal RNA
Source: RNAcentral